UAAAGUAAAUAGUCUGGAUUGAUGAA
RNAcentral lists this non-coding RNA (26 nucleotides) under Drosophila melanogaster (fruit fly). Lineage: Eukaryota; Metazoa; Arthropoda; Insecta; Diptera; Drosophilidae. RNAcentral also lists the same sequence under 1 other name. The record is from RNAcentral.